AUGAUAAGAUGUUCUCGAUGGAACAAAAGAAGUGGAACAAAUGGGUUUAACUUGUAUGCCUACUCCUGUUGCGAUAAGCAUUUGGUUUCCAUCUACAAGACAAGUUUCUGCUUGUGUAACGACAAUACUGUCUGGGUCGUCCAGUUUUUAGCUAUCAUCUGUUCCAGGAUCAUCCUGACCAUUGGGUUCCUCAUGUUCUCCUUGGUGGUUCUGUACAUUGUCUUAAGACGCAUUGGCCUGUUGAUACUGCAAAUGGAGCUGGUUGAUUCUAGAGAUCAGGCUCAGUAUCAGCUGAAGACAUCUUGGAAAAAGUACAGGAGGGACCUGCUCAAACAAAUGCUCCUCCCAUCUAUGAUGAACUGUGAUUUUACUUUCAUCCAUUGUUUAUACAUGAGCUUACAUCCAGAAGCAAGCUUACCUCUUAGAGUUCUUAUUUCUUAG
This 441-nucleotide ribosomal RNA is filed under the name Triticum aestivum (bread wheat). RNAcentral's name for it is "partial small subunit ribosomal RNA". Lineage: Eukaryota; Viridiplantae; Streptophyta; Magnoliopsida; Poales; Poaceae. The record is from RNAcentral.